UUAAUCAUGCCAUUUUGAUUCAGCUCUAUUUUGUAUUUCAAAUGAUUGAUACCAUAAAACUGUGUCCAUUAAGCCACAGACCAAGAAGAGGUUAUAUAAUGUACCAUCCCAACUUUUUAAUCAAAACCAUCUAGUGACAGGUCUUUUCAGAGAAAUAAGCCCAUGAUCUUUCUCUUAAGCUAUUAUGGAAAGAUUAGUUAUAUUUAGAGUGCUAUUAUCAUUAAAGAAACUGAUAUGCUGUUAGCAUUAAUGGGGACCUUGGGUAUUUUUUAGCCUCUGUUUCUAUGGAAAUAGUGCCUGAGUCAAAAGAUCAAGUAUGAAGAGUUCAUUCAAGUGUGUGAUCCCAGUGGCCAGGAUCAAGGAUGGCGCAAGAAAACCAGGAAUGAAGAGAGAAUCAAUGAUAUCCAAUUGACCACUAAUUUGGAAACAUAUAAUCUCAUAUAAUUUCAUUAUUUGAGAUUAUAUGAGAAGUGUAAUGAACAUAUACUUGGCAUUUUAAAAUUGUCUAUCAGUUCCAAUGCUAAGGUUCACAUGUUCAAAUAUUGUUCCAGAAGAUAUGAACAUUGUCACUGUAGCCCUUUGCAUGUGUCUUGAGUGGGUAAUGAAGUUCUUGGGCAGUGGUAAAUAGUUUGGGCCUGAGAUUUGAUACUCUUACUACAGUGAGAUAUUUCAUAUCCCAGAGGACGAAACCAAAUUUUAACAAUUAAUUUGAUCAUCCUUGGACUAGUUGCUUCUGUGAGACAGGGAAGAUUAGACUAGUAGAUACCUUAGCCAUGUGCCUAUGUUGCACCUCUGUUGAUGUAAAAUGGGAAUCUGGAUAUAAAGCAAUACUAUGCAAUAUAUAGGGCUGAAAAAACAUUUGCAUGGUGAUGCUUAUGGAGUCACUGUACACAGGGGAAGCAAAGCCAUAUCCAGAAUUUGUAUCAUUUCUGGUAAGAAAAAGUUAUUUAGCUCUCCAAUAUAUAUGAGUUUAUCCACAGUGGCUGGUCUUUGGGGUGAAAUGUGCCAUGUUGAAUUCAGCAUCAAGGAUUGCCAACACAAUGAAAACCCUGUCUCCCUAUGCAUGGGAUGGAAAAAAUACUAAGAGCACUCCCCUGGUUGUCUUAUCUGGCAAUAUUAGAGAAGGCCACAGGAAAGAAGUGAGGGGACUGGGGUUAAAGUUUGAAGCUGGACAAAGACUGUUGAAACUUGUUCAAUAGAGCAGUGUCUAAAAAUAAGGAAUGACACACAGAGAACUUGAAGGGGGCAUACAAGAUUUUCUAUAGAAAUUAAAGGAUACAGACCUACUUUCUGCUAAUGUAGAAAUACCAACAUUCCUAAUGGUUGAACAUCCAGCCUCUGCAGAAAGGUUUUAAUUAAAAUAAUCCAUUUCCUGUGUUUCCCACAAUGACAUCAUGUAACAGCCAUGCUAGAGGUUAUUCUCAAAGUCCAGAAAUCUGGAUGCUGAAACCACAUGAGGGAUUAUAGAAAAUGCUGAGAAGAUGUAUCAUUCAAUGAGCCACAGGAAUCAAAAGGAAGAUAUUCAAAAUUCAGAAAUUUUCAGAGUCCAUUGAGCAACAACCAAAUGCUCUGCCACACUGUUAUUUGACAUCAGAAGGAGUGAAUGGAGAGAGGAUGCCUGAAUACGAAGGUAAGAUUCCAUAAGGAGUGAGGGAAAAAGGGACUCUAAGGAGGGAGAACAUACAAAAGCAGAUACACCCUCCUUGUUAAACUACCGCAAGUACUACUCUAUUUCUAUCCUUCAACCUUGUUUUUCAAGCCCAAAACAUCAUGUCUGGAGAGAGGUGUGGUAACUGUAAAAGGCUGUCUGCAGAUGUGAUUGAAGCAGGUGUUUGGUACAACUGCUUCUCAAUAUGACUUACAUCAAACUCCAUCUGCUUCUACCAUCUUAUUCUAGAGAGUGUAUCUGCUUAGUAGCUCUUUUGAUAUUUUGAAUAAAAACAACAUUAAAAUACAUUAAAACUAUCUUGAGAAUAUAAAGAAAGAUACUUUAGAGGUGUGUCAAAAACUCUCUAUUGAAAUGAGAGUUGCUUUUUGUCUUGAUCUCCAAGGAGCCAGAAAAGUUUUUUGUUUUUGUUUUUGUUUGUUUGUUUUUUUGUGGUGCUGAUGAUUGAACCCAGGGCCUUGUGCAUGGGAGGCAAGCACUCCACCAACUGAGCUAUAUCCCCAACCCACAGAAAGGUUUACUCUAGCUUCUAACUGCCAAUUUUUCAAAUAUUUGAACACUAUUACCAUUACCUCUUACUAUUUUGUUUGUUGCUUAGGUUCUCCAGCAACUGUAAUUCAUUAGAAAAUAUUUUCAGACAAUAUACCAAUAUCGUAAGCUUUCUCAGAUCUCUUUCUACAUGUCCAUCUUCAGUGAAUUUCUCAAACAGGAUCUGUCAGAAUCAAGUAUGUAGACAAAUCUUCAAGCAGAGGUGCACCAAGCAGGAUUAAUUAUUCACCUAAAGAAUCCAGAGCUGGCAUAAAGUAGCCUUGAAGAAUAAAAAGAAAUGUCAAGAAUACAAGAAUUAGGAUGAGUUCAGUAAUGAUGGAGAUUAAAAUAAGGAGGCAGAGAACCACACAGUUAAUAGCUAUGUGGGAAAACUAAUGUAGAAAAAAAUCAAAGUAGUUUCUCUACUGUAUUCAACAUUUCUG
This 2637-nucleotide long non-coding RNA is filed under the name Marmota monax (woodchuck). The record is from RNAcentral. Lineage: Eukaryota; Metazoa; Chordata; Mammalia; Rodentia; Sciuridae.